CGUUCACAACAACCGUUCCAUAGUUCCUAGAUCUAGAAUUUCAUUUCAUCAGUCAUUGCAUUUUAGGUUAAUUUUUUUUUCUUUCUCUUUCGUUUAAUUUCUCAGCACGAUGCCUCCCGGGCUUCUCUGAUAUAUCUAAUGACUCGAAAGCCCUAAGCACGUGCUAGAUCUUCGCCGUUCGUGUUGCAAUUCAGCCUAGUUUUCACGGCUAAUCUGUGUCA
This 221-nucleotide long non-coding RNA is filed under the name Medicago truncatula (barrel medic). RNAcentral describes it as "lncRNA gene11907". The stretch from base 103 to 221 matches the Rfam family "small nucleolar RNA snoR134", at positions 1 to 132 of the family's 149-position model. The record is from RNAcentral. Lineage: Eukaryota; Viridiplantae; Streptophyta; Magnoliopsida; Fabales; Fabaceae.